Molecule: ribosomal RNA, 173 nt
Filed under: uncultured bacterium
Lineage: Bacteria
Description: partial 16S ribosomal RNA
Rfam family: Bacterial small subunit ribosomal RNA
Source: RNAcentral
UCUACGGGAGGCAGCAGUGGGGAAUAUUGGGCAAUGGGCGAAAGCCUGACCCAGCAACGCCGCGUGAGUGAAGAAGGCUUUCGGGUUGUAAAGCUCUGUUAUAGGGGACGAAGGAAGUGACGGUACCCUAUAAGGAAGCCCCGGCUAACUACGUGCCAGCAGCCGCGGUAAUA